This 490-nucleotide ribosomal RNA is filed under the name uncultured bacterium. RNAcentral describes it as "partial 16S ribosomal RNA". It matches the Rfam family "Bacterial small subunit ribosomal RNA", at positions 28 to 507 of the family's 1533-position model. The record is from RNAcentral.
GAUGAACGCUAGCUACAGGCUUAACACAUGCAAGUCGAGGGGCAGCAUGGUCUUAGCUUGCUAAGGCCGAUGGCGACCGGCGCACGGGUGAGUAACACGUAUCCAACCUGCCGUCUACUCUUGGACAGCCUUCUGAAAGGAAGAUUAAUACAAGAUGGCAUCAUGAGUCCGCAUGUUCACAUGAUUAAAGGUAUUCCGGUAGACGAUGGGGAUGCGUUCCAUUAGAUAGUAGGCGGGGUAACGGCCCACCUAGUCUUCGAUGGAUAGGGGUUCUGAGAGGAAGGUCCCCCACAUUGGAACUGAGACACGGUCCAAACUCCUACGGGAGGCAGCAGUGAGGAAUAUUGGUCAAUGGGCGCAGGCCUGAACCAGCCAAGUAGCGUGAAGGAUGACUGCCCUAUGGGUUGUAAACUUCUUUUAGAAAGGAAUAAAGUCGGGUAUGUAUACCCGUUUGCAUGUACUUUAUGAAUAAGGAUCGGCUAACUCCGUG